UAGGCGUAAAUGAUGCGAGUUAAGUGUGGGGGCAUCUACGAGAUGGCCCUGUGCUGUAGGGUAGCCGUUAAACUCGCUGCCUGGGGAGUACGGUCGCAAGGCUGAAACUUAAAGGAAUUGGCGGGGGAGCACUACAACGGGUGGAGCCUGCGGUUUAAUUGGACUCAACGCCGGAAAACUCACCGGGGGCGACAGCAAUAUGUAGGCCAAGCUAAAGACUUUACCAGAAUCGCUGAGAGGAGGUGCAUGGCGUAGUCGUGU
RNAcentral lists this ribosomal RNA (261 nucleotides) under uncultured archaeon. RNAcentral's name for it is "partial 16S ribosomal RNA". It matches the Rfam family "Archaeal small subunit ribosomal RNA", at positions 748 to 1009 of the family's 1478-position model. The record is from RNAcentral.